Molecule: ribosomal RNA, 275 nt
Filed under: uncultured bacterium
Lineage: Bacteria
Description: partial 16S ribosomal RNA
Rfam family: Bacterial small subunit ribosomal RNA
Source: RNAcentral
UAGCUAGUUGGUCGAGGUAAACGGCUCACCAAGGCUAUGACGGUUAGCCGGCCUGAGAGGGUGAACGGCCAAACUGGAACUUAGACACGGUCCAGACUCCUACGGGAGGCAGCAGUGAGGAAUAUUGCGCAAUGGGCGAAAGCCUGACGCAGCGACGCCGCGUGGAGGAUGAAGGUUUUCGGAUCGUAAACUCCUGUUAAGUGGGAAGAAAAGUCUGUGGUUAAUACCCGCAGAAAAUGACGGUACCAUUAUAGAAAGCACCGGCUAACUACGUG